Molecule: ribosomal RNA, 1378 nt
Filed under: Escherichia coli
Lineage: Bacteria; Pseudomonadati; Pseudomonadota; Gammaproteobacteria; Enterobacterales; Enterobacteriaceae
Description: partial 23S ribosomal RNA
Rfam family: Bacterial large subunit ribosomal RNA
Source: RNAcentral
CCGGCGAUUUCCGAAUGGGGAAACCCAGUGUGUUUCGACACACUAUCAUUAACUGAAUCCAUAGGUUAAUGAGGCGAACCGGGGGAACUGAAACAUCUAAGUACCCCGAGGAAAAGAAAUCAACCGAGAUUCCCCCAGUAGCGGCGAGCGAACGGGGAGGAGCCCAGAGUCUGAAUCAGUGUGUGUGUUAGUGGAAGCGUCUGGAAAGGCGUGCGAUACAGGGUGACAGCCCCGUACACAAAAAUGCACAUAUUGUGAGCUCGAUGAGUAGGGCGGGACACGUGGUAUCCUGUCUGAAUAUGGGGGGACCAUCCUCCAAGGCUAAAUACUCCUGACUGACCGAUAGUGAACCAGUACCGUGAGGGAAAGGCGAAAAGAACCCCGGCGAGGGGAGUGAAAAAGAACCUGAAACCGUGUACGUACAAGCAGUGGGAGCCUCUUAAUGGGGUGACUGCGUACCUUUUGUAUAAUGGGUCAGCGACUUAUAUUCUGUAGCAAGGUUAACCGAAUAGGGGAGCCGAAGGGAAACCGAGUCUUAACUGGGCGUUAAGUUGCAGGGUAUAGACCCGAAACCCGGUGAUCUAGCCAUGGGCAGGUUGAAGGUUGGGUAACACUAACUGGAGGACCGAACCGACUAAUGUUGAAAAAUUAGCGGAUGACUUGUGGCUGGGGGUGAAAGGCCAAUCAAACCGGGAGAUAGCUGGUUCUCCCCGAAAGCUAUUUAGGUAGCGCCUCGUGAAUUCAUCUCCGGGGGUAGAGCACUGUUUCGGCAAGGGGGUCAUCCCGACUUACCAACCCGAUGCAAACUGCGAAUACCGGAGAAUGUUAUCACGGGAGACACACGGCGGGUGCUAACGUCCGUCGUGAAGAGGGAAACAACCCAGACCGCCAGCUAAGGUCCCAAAGUCAUGGUUAAGUGGGAAACGAUGUGGGAAGGCCCAGACAGCCAGGAUGUUGGCUUAGAAGCAGCCAUCAUUUAAAGAAAGCGUAAUAGCUCACUGGUCGAGUCGGCCUGCGCGGAAGAUGUAACGGGGCUAAACCAUGCACCGAAGCUGCGGCAGCGACACUAUGUGUUGUUGGGUAGGGGAGCGUUCUGUAAGCCUGUGAAGGUGGCCUGUGAGGGUUGCUGGAGGUAUCAGAAGUGCGAAUGCUGACAUAAGUAACGAUAAAGCGGGUGAAAAGCCCGCUCGCCGGAAGACCAAGGGUUCCUGUCCAACGUUAAUCGGGGCAGGGUGAGUCGACCCCUAAGGCGAGGCCGAAAGGCGUAGUCGAUGGGAAACAGGUUAAUAUUCCUGUACUUGGUGUUACUGCGAAGGGGGGACGGAGAAGGCUAUGUUGGCCGGGCGACGGUUGUCCCGGUUUAAGCGUGUAGGCUGGU